Non-coding RNA from Camellia sinensis, 1198 nucleotides. The record is from RefSeq and is a predicted model, not a curated record. NCBI's taxonomy places the organism in Eukaryota, Viridiplantae, Streptophyta, Magnoliopsida, Ericales, Theaceae.
AAAAGAAGUGGUUGGCUCUACAACAUCAUGGAUGGUGAAGGGUUUUGUCGGCCUUUGGCAUAAGGGAAUUUUGUUCCCAAAACUUUUAUUUCCAUAACUUUCUGGUUGAAACUGACAGGCAAACAAACACUAAUACAUUUUAUCAAAUUGAACUUACUUAAAUCUUUGGGCUAAUUAUGUGGACAUCUCUCCAUUAUUAAAAAAAAAUACAAAUAUAUCUCUUUUGUAGUUGAGCGAUUUAAAAGUAUAGUUUUAAAAUUAAGAGGAGACAAAUGAUAUUCAGUGAUUUUUGAAGGGAAUCCGUGUAAUUAAUUUUCAUUAAAAAGGAAAAAAAAAAAAACAAGAAAGCUAUUAAGCAAAAAAUUUCAAGAAAAUCUAUUGUAAAAACCUCCUUUUAACUAAGAAGUAAAACUCAAAAGCUUUUAUAUUUUUAGUAAAUUACAGUUGGUUUGUUCUUAAAGCUCAAAUUAAAUAGCCUUGUCAUGUAUUGAUUAGCACACUAGUCAAAAAAAAUAAAAAUAAAAAUACUGUAGAAAUAUUUAAUGAGACUUAUUCUAUUGUGGAAAACAUAUUAUAAAAUAGAUAUUAUAUGAAACUUUGUUUCUUUGGGUAUAAGACAAGUGCUAGUUGCUAUUUUUAAUAGUAAAUUCAAAGAAAUACUCAUGCAGUGAGAAUAGAAGAAAAGCAACAAAAACAGAGUCAUAAAAUGAUGUGUUUUUUUUCUUUCAAAAUAAUAAAACUAUAUACCAUUCUAUAUAAAAAUUAUGGAUAUAAUUUUGUUUUUGUAACAUUAAUAUACUCUUGCAGGACAUAUGUAUGUUGUGUUAGGAAUAUAAUUUUUUUUUUACAAAAUAAGACACAUAUAUAAAACAAAAUAAUGAGACCCACACAUAAACUUCAUCAUUUGUCACAAUUUCUCUACCCAUAAUAUAUGAUUCACUUGCUUUGUUGAAAUGAACCUCCACCAACCGAGUGUUAACAACUUCUUAGUUUCACUUUUUCAUGAAAGUCUAUUGCCAUACAGUGAUAAAGGUGUGCUAUGACUUCUAAGGUGCUUUUAUCUCUUUUAUUAGUUAGAUUGAAAAAAAAUGAAUUAUAUAAGUGGACAAAAAACUAAUUAUUUGAAUACUAAUGGAGAGUUGUUUUCAUCAACUUCUAAUUUAAAAUAUGUCCAGAGUUAUUAAGAAGAAAAGGAGGG